GGGGGAGCAAGCGUUGUUCGGAUUUACUGGGCGUAAAGGGCGCGUAGGCGGCAGCGCAAGUCAGUUGUGAAAUCUCCGGGCUUAACUCGGAAAGGUCAACUGAUACUGCGCGGCUAGAGUGCAGAAGGGGCAACUGGAAUUCUCGGUGUAGCGGUGAAAUGCGUAGAUAUCGAGAGGAACACCUGCGGCGAAGGCGGGUUGCUGGGCUGACACUGACGCUGAUGCGCGAAAGCCAGGGGAGCGAACGGGAUUAGAUACCCCGGUAGUCCUGGCCUUAAACGAUGGAUGCUUGGUGUCUGGAGUUUUAUAGUCUCCGGGUGCCGCAGCUAACGCGUUAAGCAUCCCGCCUGGGGAGUACGGUCGCAAGACUG
Molecule: ribosomal RNA, 371 nt
Filed under: uncultured bacterium
Lineage: Bacteria
Description: bacterial SSU rRNA
Rfam family: Bacterial small subunit ribosomal RNA
Source: RNAcentral